GGCGAGAUGGCCGAGCGGUCUAAGGCGCUGUGUUAAGGUGACUCCCCAGACAUCCUCUGGACUUCAGUAUCUCCGCAGUCUUCGGACGUGGGUUCGAAUCCCACUCUCGUCA
This is a transfer RNA of 112 nucleotides. It matches the Rfam family "tRNA". Rfam says of the family: Transfer RNA (tRNA) molecules are approximately 80 nucleotides in length. Their secondary structure includes four short double-helical elements and three loops (D, anti-codon, and T loops). The record is from Rfam.